Molecule: ribosomal RNA, 1341 nt
Filed under: Phytophthora cinnamomi
Lineage: Eukaryota; Oomycota; Peronosporomycetes; Peronosporales; Peronosporaceae
Description: eukaryotic LSU rRNA
Rfam family: Eukaryotic large subunit ribosomal RNA
Source: RNAcentral
CCCGCUGAACUUAAGCAUAUCAAUAAGCGGAGGAAAAGAAACUAACAAGGAUUCCCCUAGUAACGGCGAGUGAAGCGGGAAGAGCUCAAGCUUAAAAUCUCCGUGCAAGUUUUGCGCGGCGAAUUGUAGUCUAUAGAGGCGUGGUCAGCGUGGGCGCUUGGGGCAAGUUCCUUGGAAGAGGACAGCAUGGAGGGUGAUACUCCCGUUCAUCCCUGAGUGGCUCGUGCGUACGACCCGUGUUCUUUGAGUCGCGUUGUUUGGGAAUGCAGCGCAAAGUAGGUGGUAAAUUCCAUCUAAAGCUAAAUAUUGGUGCGAGACCGAUAGCGAACAAGUACCGUGAGGGAAAGAUGAAAAGAACUUUGAAAAGAGAGUUAAAGAGUACCUGAAACUGCUGAAAGGGAACCGAAUCGUUUCCAGUGUCUAUAAUCCGUGGCAUAUUUCAUUGGCGAGUGUGCGCGUGCGUGUGCUGUGGCAGUGGCUUUUUUGGCUGCGCUCGGUGCGUGUGCUGUGUGUGCUUGCUGGUGCCCUGUGCUGCGGUGGGACGUCAAGGUCAGUUCGUAUGCUGCGGGAAAUGGCUGCCGAGGAGGUAGGGCUUACGCUCCGCGUUUGUCUGUUAUAUCUUGGUGGACGAGUCGUCGCGGUUGGGACUGAGGUGCCUACAACGUGCUUUUGAGUGGGUUCGUGUCUCCGUGUGCGCCGUGUGCGGAUAGCUUGCUAUGCGUGUGUGGUUGUGUGUGGAUUGGUGCGGGCUUUAACUUGUCGCCGUUCGGGACGUUGACGAAAUGGAGCGAUCCGACCCGUCUUGAAACACGGACCAAGGAGUCUAACAUGUGUGCAAGUGUUAGGGUGUGGAAACCCCAGCGCGAAAUGAAAGUGAAGGGCAGCGCAAGUUGUCUGAGGUAGGAAACGUUGCGGGCUUCGGUCUGCGGCGUGGCACUAUCGACCGAUCAUGAACCUUCGUGGUGAAAGAUUUGAGUUUGAGCACAUAUGUUGGUACCCGAAAGAUGGUGAACUAUGCCUGAGUAGGGUGAAGCCAGGGGAAACUCUGGUGGAAGCUCGUAGCGAUUCUGACGUGCAAAUCGAUCGUCAAACUUGGGUAUAGGGGCGAAAGACUAAUCGAACCAUCUAGUAGCUGGUUCCCUCCGAAAUUUCCCUCAGGAUAGCAGCAACUUAUUUACGAUAGUUUUAUGAGGUAAAGCGAAUGAUUAGAGGAUUCGGGGAAGAAACUUCCUCGACCUAUUCUCAAACUUUAAAUCUGUAAGACCUGCAGGUUUCUUAAUUGAACUUGUGGAUGUGAAUAUCAAGUUGCUAGUGGGCCAUACGGGGUAAGCUCGUCUGGCG